UGCGAGUGAAGCGGGAUCGGCUCAAUGUGUGAAUCUGGCUUGGGGUAGUUCCCUGGUCCGAGUUGUGCACUAUGGACGUUUCGUCUGCGUUUGUAAUGGCGGUGGAAGUCCGUUGAAACACGGCACCUCAGAGGGUCACAGUCCUGUACCACCUGCCUGCACUCGCGCCAAUGACAAGCGCUCCUCGAGUCGCGUAGUUUUGUAAUGCUGCGCCAAGUGGGAGGUAGAGACCUUCUAAGGCUAAAUAUGAUGACGUGACCGAUAGCACACAAGUACCGCGAGGGAAAGGUGAAAAGCAACCAUGAAAAAUGGGUUGAAACAGUAGUGAAAGCGCUACCGGGAUAAGGGCUAUCGGGUGCUGGGGCUUCUCGGGUGUGCUUCAGUGCUACCCUUGGAGACGGCCCGCGUGGGUUGAUUGGGGCGAUAGACGCGCUGUAGGAAUUCGGCUGCCUUCGGGCAGUGUUGUAGCCUGCGGUUGCUGAUCCUCCUGCGACCUUUUGUAA
This 503-nucleotide ribosomal RNA is filed under the name Tulasnella cumulopuntioides. RNAcentral's name for it is "eukaryotic LSU rRNA". It matches the Rfam family "Eukaryotic large subunit ribosomal RNA", at positions 88 to 535 of the family's 3401-position model. The record is from RNAcentral. Lineage: Eukaryota; Fungi; Basidiomycota; Agaricomycetes; Cantharellales; Tulasnellaceae.